UAGGGAAUCUUCGGCAAUGGACGAAAGUCUGACCGAGCAACGCCGCGUGAGUGAAGAAGGUUUUCGGAUCGUAAAACUCUGUUGUUCGAGAAGAACAAGGACGUUAGUAACUGAACGUCCCCUGACGGUAUCUAACCAGAAAGCCACGGCUAACUACGUGCCAGCAGCCGCGGUAAUACGUAGGUGGCAAGCGUUGUCCGGAUUUAUUGGGCGUAAAGCGUGCGCAGGCGGUUUCUUAAGUCUGAUGUGAAAGCCCCCGGCUCAACCGGGGAGGGUCAUUGGAAACUGGGAGACUAGAGUGCAGAAGAGGAGAGUGGAAUUCCAUGUGUAGCGGUGAAAUGCGUAGAUAUAUGGAGGAACACCAGUGGCGAAGGCGGCUCUCUGGUCUGUAACUGACGCUGAGGCACGAAAGCGUGGGGAGCAAACAGG
RNAcentral lists this ribosomal RNA (429 nucleotides) under Gemmatimonadota bacterium. Its description in RNAcentral is "Gemmatimonadetes bacterium partial 16S ribosomal RNA". It matches the Rfam family "Bacterial small subunit ribosomal RNA", at positions 355 to 776 of the family's 1533-position model. The record is from RNAcentral. Lineage: Bacteria; Pseudomonadati; Gemmatimonadota.